This 1533-nucleotide ribosomal RNA is filed under the name uncultured Enterobacter sp. Its description in RNAcentral is "bacterial SSU rRNA". It matches the Rfam family "Bacterial small subunit ribosomal RNA". The record is from RNAcentral. Lineage: Bacteria; Pseudomonadati; Pseudomonadota; Gammaproteobacteria; Enterobacterales; Enterobacteriaceae.
AGAGUUUGAUCAUGGCUCAGAUUGAACGCUGGCGGCAGGCCCAACACAUGCAAGUCGAGCGGUAACACAGGGAGCUUGCUCUCGGGUGACGAGCGGCGGACGGGUGAGUAAUGUCUGGGAAACUGCCUGAUGGAGGGGGAUAACUACUGGAAACGGUAGCUAAUACCGCAUAACGUCGCAAGACCAAAGAGGGGGACCUUCGGGCCUCUUGCCAUCAGAUGUGCCCAGAUGGGAUUAGCUAGUAGGUGGGGUAACGGCUCACCUAGGCGACGAUCCCUAGCUGGUCUGAGAGGAUGACCAGCCACACUGGAACUGAGACACGGUCCAGACUCCUACGGGAGGCAGCAGUGGGGAAUAUUGCACAAUGGGCGCAAGCCUGAUGCAGCCAUGCCGCGUGUAUGAAGAAGGCCUUCGGGUCGUAAAGUACUUUCAGCGGGGAGGAAGGUGUUGAGGUUAAUAACCUCAGCAAUUGACGUUACCCGCAGAAGAAGCACCGGCUAACUCCGUGCCAGCAGCCGCGGUAAUACGGAGGGUGCAAGCGUUAAUCGGAAUUACUGGGCGUAAAGCGCACGCAGGCGGUCUGUCAAGUCGGAUGUGAAAUCCCCGGGCUCAACCUGGGAACUGCAUUCGAAACUGGCAGGCUAGAGUCUUGUAGAGGGGGGUAGAAUUCAGGUGUAGCGGUGAAAUGCGUAGAGAUCUGGAGGAAUACCGGUGGCGAAGGCGGCCCCCUGGACAAAGACUGACGCUCAGGUGCGAAAGCGUGGGGAGCAAACAGGAUUAGAUACCCUGGUAGUCACGCCGUAAACGAUGUCGACUUGGAGGUUGUGCCCUUGAGGCGUGGCUUCCGGAGCUAACGCGUUAAGUCGACCGCCUGGGGAGUACGGCCGCAAGGUUAAAACUCAAAUGAAUUGACGGGGGCCCGCACAAGCGGUGGAGCAUGUGGUUUAAUUCGAUGCAACGCGAAGAACCUUACCUACUCUUGACAUCCAGAGAACUUAGCAGAGAUGCUUUGGUGCCUUCGGGAACUCUGAGACAGGUGCUGCAUGGCUGUCGUCAGCUCGUGUUGUGAAAUGUUGGGUUAAGUCCCGCAACGAGCGCAACCCUUAUCCUUUGUUGCCAGCGGUCCGGCCGGGAACUCAAAGGAGACUGCCAGUGAUAAACUGGAGGAAGGUGGGGAUGACGUCAAGUCAUCAUGGCCCUUACGAGUAGGGCUACACACGUGCUACAAUGGCGCAUACAAAGAGAAGCGACCUCGCGAGAGCAAGCGGACCUCAUAAAGUGCGUCGUAGUCCGGAUUGGAGUCUGCAACUCGACUCCAUGAAGUCGGAAUCGCUAGUAAUCGUAGAUCAGAAUGCUACGGUGAAUACGUUCCCGGGCCUUGUACACACCGCCCGUCACACCAUGGGAGUGGGUUGCAAAAGAAGUAGGUAGCUUAACCUUCGGGAGGGCGCUUACCACUUUGUGAUUCAUGACUGGGGUGAAGUCGUAACAAGGUAACCGUAGGGGAACCUGCGGUUGGAACACCUCCUUUCU